Molecule: ribosomal RNA, 436 nt
Filed under: uncultured bacterium
Lineage: Bacteria
Description: bacterial SSU rRNA
Rfam family: Bacterial small subunit ribosomal RNA
Source: RNAcentral
CAGCGCCUGACACAUGCAAGUCGAACGAGACCUUCGGGUCUAGAGGCGCACGGGUGCGUAACGCGUGGGAAUCUGCCCUUGGGUUCGGAAUAACGUUGGGAAACUGACGCUAAUACCGGAUGAUGACGUAAGUCCAAAGAUUUAUCGCCCAAGGAUGAGCCCGCGUAGGAUUAGCUAGUUGGUAAGGUAAAGGCUUACCAAGGCGACGAUCCUUAGCUGGUCUGAGAGGAUGAUCAGCCACACUGGGACUGAGACACGGCCCAGACUCCUACGGGAGGCAGCAGUGGGGAAUAUUGGACAAUGGGCGAAAGCCUGAUCCAGCAAUGCCGCGUGAGUGAUGAAGGCCUUAGGGUUGUAAAGCUCUUUUACCCGGGAUGAUAAUGACAGUACCGGGAGAAUAAGCUCCGGCUAACUCCGUGCCAGCAGCCGCGGUAAU